CGGGAUGUGGAGCAGCUGGUAGCUUGCCACGUUCGGGACGUGGAGGUCGUGGGUUCGAAUCCCGCCAUCCCGA
Molecule: transfer RNA, 73 nt
Filed under: Siphonobacter aquaeclarae
Lineage: Bacteria; Pseudomonadati; Bacteroidota; Cytophagia; Cytophagales; Cytophagaceae
Also listed under: 3 other names
Rfam family: tRNA
About the family: Transfer RNA (tRNA) molecules are approximately 80 nucleotides in length. Their secondary structure includes four short double-helical elements and three loops (D, anti-codon, and T loops). Further hydrogen bonds mediate the characteristic L-shaped molecular structure. tRNAs have two regions of fundamental functional importance: the anti-codon, which is responsible for specific mRNA codon recognition, and the 3' end, to which the tRNAs corresponding amino acid is attached (by aminoacyl-tRNA synthetases). tRNAs cope with the degeneracy of the genetic code in two manners: having more than one tRNA (with a specific anti-codon) for a particular amino acid; and 'wobble' base-pairing, i.e. permitting non-standard base-pairing at the 3rd anti-codon position.
Source: Rfam by way of RNAcentral